RNAcentral lists this ribosomal RNA (254 nucleotides) under uncultured bacterium. RNAcentral's name for it is "partial 16S ribosomal RNA". It matches the Rfam family "Bacterial small subunit ribosomal RNA", at positions 524 to 776 of the family's 1533-position model. The record is from RNAcentral.
UACGUAGGGGGCUAGCGUUGUCCGGAUUUACUGGGCGUAAAGGGCGCGUAGGCGGCCACCGCAAGUCAGUUGUGAAAGCUCUGGGCUUAACCCAGAAAGGUCAACUGAUACUGCGGGGCUAGAGUGCAGAAGGGGCAACUGGAAUUCUCGGUGUAGCGGUGAAAUGCGUAGAUAUCGAGAGGAACACCAGUGGCGAAGGCGAGUCCCUGGACAGAUCCUGACACUGAGACACGAAGGCCAGGGGAGCAAACGGG